GGUGCUAUAGUGUAGUGGUUAUCACUCGGGAUUUUGAAAUUGCCUUAGGAGGAAAUUUGGUGGCUUCCCGAAACCCAGGUUCGAACCCUGGUAGCACCU
This is a non-coding RNA of Panus rudis PR-1116 ss-1, 99 nucleotides long. Lineage: Eukaryota; Fungi; Basidiomycota; Agaricomycetes; Polyporales; Panaceae. The record is from the annotation of a GenBank genome assembly.